AAAAUUAGCUCAACCAUAGAAAUCUUUAACAAGCUGUAUCGAGUUCCUAACUCUACCAUGUGUUUGAACCAAGAAGAUUAAACUAAAAAUCUAUGUUCAACAAACUUUAAGAAAAUGAGAGGACCGCUUGAUGUACUGUAGCCUGUAUUUAACAUCAGAGCAAGCGACCAUGGGUAUUGCUUCCAUUUAAGACAUGUAGUCAUGUGCAUCAGGGUUGUCAGCUUGCCGAGGCGUUCCCUGAUCAUUUCCAAUUGUUCUCUUGCUCAUGUUAGCACGCUGAACAAGACGAACUAAUGCCUGAACCACUUCUGACAUAGGCGGUCGAAACUCU
This 331-nucleotide unclassified non-coding RNA is filed under the name Hevea brasiliensis (rubber tree). Lineage: Eukaryota; Viridiplantae; Streptophyta; Magnoliopsida; Malpighiales; Euphorbiaceae. The record is from RNAcentral.